AGGCCUAACACAUGCAAGUCGAGCGCCGUAGCAAUACGGAGCGGCAGACGGGAGAGUAACACGUGGGAACGUGCCCUUCAGUUCGGAACAACCCAGGGAAACUUGGGCUAAUACCGGAUACGUCCGUAAGGAGAAAGAUUUAUCGCUGAAGGAUCGGCCCGCGUCUGAUUAGCUAGUUGGUGGGGUAACGGCCCACCAAGGCGACGAUCAGUAGCUGGUCUGAGAGGAUGAUCAGCCUCACUGGGACUGAGACACGGCCCAGACUCCUCCGGGAGGCAGCAG
RNAcentral lists this ribosomal RNA (282 nucleotides) under uncultured bacterium. Its description in RNAcentral is "partial 16S ribosomal RNA". It matches the Rfam family "Bacterial small subunit ribosomal RNA", at positions 46 to 354 of the family's 1533-position model. The record is from RNAcentral.